AUGGUGGAAGUUGUGCCUCACUCCUGCGCCCCGUCUUCCCCUGGAGGGAAAAGGAAGGGCCCGUGUUACUCAGAGGCCUGGAGAGACAUCUGAUGCUCAGCCAGUUGGACGAUGGAUCCUGUGAAAGAUCUGGUUUUGUGGUUGUGGCUCCCUUCUAUGGCAUGGCUACCCACUUCUUGGUUGAAAAUAAUGAACUUUGGGCAACCCUGAGAAGGAGGAAAUAUAUUUAGCUCACCAUCACUCACAGAACAGACAGACCCUCGCCAUGGCAGGCAGCUUGGUCUAGGUAGGAACUGUCAGAAACUCAACGUGGUUUAAAAUGCCACUUUUCCCUCUGCAAGGGAAAACACGGAGAUGGAGCUGUUUCCAUGUAGGGGCCACGGUGUGUCGGGGCAGAGAAGAGAGGAGGAGACCGCCUGGGGCAGGAGCUGGGGAGCCUGCAGGCACCUCCUGCACCCCAGCUCACUCUUCUGAACACACUCCCUGAGCUGCAGCUUUGGACACCAUUCUUCCCACCUGAAGAAGAU
RNAcentral lists this long non-coding RNA (527 nucleotides) under Ictidomys tridecemlineatus (thirteen-lined ground squirrel). Its description in RNAcentral is "lncRNA (ENSSTOG00000034875.1)". The record is from RNAcentral. Lineage: Eukaryota; Metazoa; Chordata; Mammalia; Rodentia; Sciuridae.